CACUAUGAUAAGCAAAGAACAGGACAGCACUAAAAUCUUCCACCUCACCCAUAAAUUAUUUGUUGACUAAGGAAAAUGUCUUCCAAUUAACAAAUAUUGUUCGUCAUUGGCAAACAUUGCGACUGGGAGCGCUAACAGAUCGUGAAGUUAGUUGGUGAUGAUCCCACUCCAAUGGAAUGCGUGUGUUCACGUAGUUGCGUGUGGGUGUUGUUUUGAUUGUGGGCAAAGAUUUAAGACAUUACAAUUCUCUGGGGUUUAUGAAUUUUGACCGUGAUCGAUGAUGUCAAUUAAUACAACACUAUGACAGUUGCCGACAGCUCUUCUUACCAAGUUAAGUGCGUGUAUCAAAUUAAUCCUUGAUAUACUGUCUGUAAAUGAUCUCACCAAUUCGCAAUCUGAAUAAUAUCG
Folsomia candida is the source of this 408-nucleotide long non-coding RNA. RefSeq lists it as uncharacterized. The record is from RefSeq and is a predicted model, not a curated record. Lineage: Eukaryota; Metazoa; Arthropoda; Collembola; Entomobryomorpha; Isotomidae. The transcript has 3 exons.